RNAcentral lists this ribosomal RNA (2924 nucleotides) under Campylobacter coli. Its description in RNAcentral is "bacterial LSU rRNA". It matches the Rfam family "Bacterial large subunit ribosomal RNA". Lineage: Bacteria; Pseudomonadati; Campylobacterota; Epsilonproteobacteria; Campylobacterales; Campylobacteraceae. The record is from RNAcentral.
AAAAAAGGUAAGCUACUAAGAGCGAAUGGUGGAUGCCUUGACUGGUAAAGGCGAUGAAGGACGUACUAGACUGCGAUAAGCUACGGGGAGCUGUCAAGAAGCUUUGAUCCGUAGAUUUCCGAAUGGGGCAACCCAAUGUAUAGAGAUAUACAUUACCUAAUAUAGGAGCGAACGAGGGGAAUUGAAACAUCUUAGUACCCUCAGGAAAAGAAAUCAAUAGAGAUUGCGUCAGUAGCGGCGAGCGAAAGCGCAAGAGGGCAAACCCAGUGCUUGCACUGGGGGUUGUAGGACUGCAAUGUGCAAGAGGUGAGUUUAGCAGAACAUUCUGGAAAGUAUAGCCAUAGAGGGUGAUAGUCCCGUAUGCGAAAAACAAACCUUAGCUAGCAGUAUCCUGAGUAGGGCGGGACACGAGAAAUCCUGUCUGAAGCUGGGUCGACCACGAUCCAACCCUAAAUACUAAUACCAGAUCGAUAGUGCACAAGUACCGUGAGGGAAAGGUGAAAAGAACUGAGGUGAUCAGAGUGAAAUAGAACCUGAAACCAUUUGCUUACAAUCAUUCAGAGCACUAUGUAGCAAUACAGUGUGAUGGACUGCCUUUUGCAUAAUGAGCCUGCGAGUUGUGGUGUCUGGCAAGGUUAAGCAAACGCGAAGCCGUAGCGAAAGCGAGUCUGAAUAGGGCGCUUAGUCAGAUGCUGCAGACCCGAAACGAAGUGAUCUAUCCAUGAGCAAGUUGAAGCUAGUGUAAGAACUAGUGGAGGACUGAACCCAUAGGCGUUGAAAAGCCCCGGGAUGACUUGUGGAUAGGGGUGAAAGGCCAAUCAAACUUCGUGAUAGCUGGUUCUCUCCGAAAUAUAUUUAGGUAUAGCGUUGUGUCGUAAUAUAAGGGGGUAGAGCACUGAAUGGGCUAGGGCAUACACCAAUGUACCAAACCCUAUCAAACUCCGAAUACCUUAUAUGUAAUCACAGCAGUCAGGCGGCGAGUGAUAAAAUCCGUCGUCAAGAGGGAAACAACCCAGACUACCAGCUAAGGUCCCUAAAUCUUACUUAAGUGGAAAACGAUGUGAAGUUACUUAAACAACCAGGAGGUUGGCUUAGAAGCAGCCAUCCUUUAAAGAAAGCGUAAUAGCUCACUGGUCUAGUGAUUUUGCGCGGAAAAUAUAACGGGGCUAAAGUAAGUACCGAAGCUGUAGACUUGACUUUGUCAAGUGGUAGGAGAGCGUUCUAUUUGCGUCGAAGGUAUACCGGUAAGGAGUGCUGGAGCGAAUAGAAGUGAGCAUGCAGGCAUGAGUAGCGAUAAUUAAUGUGAGAAUCAUUAACGCCGUAAACCCAAGGUUUCCUACGCGAUGCUCGUCAUCGUAGGGUUAGUCGGGUCCUAAGUCGAGUCCGAAAGGGGUAGACGAUGGCAAAUUGGUUAAUAUUCCAAUACCAACAUUAGUGUGCGAUGGAAGGACGCUUAGGGCUAAGGGGGCUAGCGGAUGGAAGUGCUAGUCUAAGGUCGUAGGUGCUUAUACAGGCAAAUCCGUAUAAGAAUACACCGAGAACUGAAAGGCUUUUUGAAGUCUUCGGAUGGAUAGAAGAACCCCUGAUGCCGUCGAGCCAAGAAAAGUUUCUAAGUUUAGCUAAUGUUGCCCGUACCGUAAACCGACACAGGUGGGUGGGAUGAGUAUUCUAAGGCGCGUGGAAGAACUCUCUUUAAGGAACUCUGCAAAAUAGCACCGUAUCUUCGGUAUAAGGUGUGGUUCGCUUCGUAUUAGGAUUUACUCCGAAAGCGAAGAAACUUACAACAAAGAGUCCCUCCCGACUGUUUACCAAAAACACAGCACUCUGCUAACUCGUAAGAGGAUGUAUAGGGUGUGACGCCUGCCCGGUGCUCGAAGGUUAAUUGAUGGGGUUAGCAUUAGCGAAGCUCUUGAUCGAAGCCCGAGUAAACGGCGGCCGUAACUAUAACGGUCCUAAGGUAGCGAAAUUCCUUGUCGGUUAAAUACCGACCUGCAUGAAUGGCGUAACGAGAUGGGAGCUGUCUCAAAGAGGGAUCCAGUGAAAUUGUAGUGGAGGUGAAAAUUCCUCCUACCCGCGGCAAGACGGAAAGACCCCGUGGACCUUUACUACAGCUUGACACUGCUAUUUGGAUAAGAAUGUGCAGGAUAGGUGGGAGGCUUUGAGUAUAUGACGCCAGUUGUAUAUGAGCCAUUGUUGAGAUACCACUCUUUCUUAUUUGGGUAGCUAACCAGCUUGAGUUAUCCUCAAGUGGGACAAUGUCUGGUGGGUAGUUUGACUGGGGCGGUCGCCUCCCAAAUAAUAACGGAGGCUUACAAAGGUUGGCUCAGAACGGUUGGAAAUCGUUCGUAGAGUAUAAAGGUAUAAGCCAGCUUAACUGCAAGACAUACAAGUCAAGCAGAGACGAAAGUCGGUCUUAGUGAUCCGGUGGUUCUGUGUGGAAGGGCCAUCGCUCAAAGGAUAAAAGGUACCCCGGGGAUAACAGGCUGAUCUCCCCCAAGAGCUCACAUCGACGGGGAGGUUUGGCACCUCGAUGUCGGCUCAUCGCAUCCUGGGGCUGGAGCAGGUCCCAAGGGUAUGGCUGUUCGCCAUUUAAAGCGGUACGCGAGCUGGGUUCAGAACGUCGUGAGACAGUUCGGUCCCUAUCUGCCGUGGGCGUAAGAAGAUUGAAGAGAUUUGACCCUAGUACGAGAGGACCGGGUUGAACAAACCACUGGUGUAGCUGUUGUUCUGCCAAGAGCAUCGCAGCGUAGCUAAGUUUGGAAAGGAUAAACGCUGAAAGCAUCUAAGCGUGAAGCCAACUCUAAGAUGAAUCUUCUCUAAGCUCUCUAGAAGACUACUAGUUUGAUAGGCUGGGUGUGUAAUGGAUGAAAGUCCUUUAGCUGACCAGUACUAAUAGAGCGUUUGGCUUAUCUUUAAUAAAGCAU